Gorilla gorilla gorilla (western lowland gorilla) is the source of this 119-nucleotide ribosomal RNA. NCBI's taxonomy places the organism in Eukaryota, Metazoa, Chordata, Mammalia, Primates, Hominidae. The record is from Ensembl.
UGUCUACGGCCAUACCACCCUGAACGCGCCCGAUCUCGUCUGAUCUCGGAAGCUAAGCAGGGUCGGGCCUGGUUAGUACUUGGAUGGGAGAAACUGAAUAAUUCCAAAAGCACUAAUAU